Molecule: ribosomal RNA, 777 nt
Filed under: uncultured Neocallimastigales
Lineage: Eukaryota; Fungi; Neocallimastigomycota; Neocallimastigomycetes; Neocallimastigales
Description: partial large subunit ribosomal RNA
Rfam family: Eukaryotic large subunit ribosomal RNA
Source: RNAcentral
UCAGACGAUGCGUCAUGCAUAUCAAUAAGCGGAGGAAAAGAAACUAACAAGGAUUCCCCUAGUAACGGCGAGUGAAGCGGGAAGAGCUCAAAUUUGAAAUCUUAAAGGGUUUCCCUUUACGAACUGUAGUUUAAAGAAGUGUUUUCUGUUGAGGUUUUGGUAAAAGUUCUUUGGAAUAGGACAUCAUAGAGGGUGAGAAUCCCGUAUUUGACCUUUACUUUCAACUUUGUGAUACACUUUCAAAGAGUCGGAUUGUUUGGGAAUGCAGUCCAAAAUGGGUGGUAAAUUUCAUCUAAAGCUAAAUAUUGGCGAGAGACCGAUAGCGAACAAGUACCGUGAGGGAAAGAUGAAAAGAACUUUGAAAAGAGAGUUAAACAGUAUCGUGAAAUUGUCAAAAGGGAAGCGUUUGACACCAGUGUUGUUUUUCUGAAAAUCAAUUAAAGAACUGUUUAUGCUAAGCUGUUUAGACUUUAGCAGCUAAUCUGUUUAGUUUUAGGCUUUUCUUUAAUGCACUUUUCAGUUAACAAGUCAACAUCAAUUUCUUUUGCUGUAAAAAAGCUUGAGGAAGGUGGCUUGAGAUUCGUCUUAAGUGUUUAUAGCCUCUUGCCUAUGCAGUCGGAGAGAUUGAGGUCUGCAGCGUAGGAUCCUUCGGGGCUAAAUGCAUUUGUGCUAAGUUAUAGCAUUUUAUAGACAACUUGUUGACUAUGAUUUGUCUUGUAGCUUACUCGCUUAUGUUAUUUUACCUACGCUUAGGAUGUUGACACACGCGCGUGCUCG